CACUCCUGCGGGAGGCAGCAGUGGGGAAUUUUGGACAAUGGGCGAAAGCCUGAUCCAGCAAUGCCGCGUGAGUGAAGAAGGCCUUCGGGUUGUAAAGCUCUUUUGUCAGGGAAGAAACGGUGAGAGCUAAUAUCUCUUGCUAAUGACGGUACCUGAAGAAUAAGCACCGGCUAACUACGUGCCAGCAGCCGCGGUAAUACGUAGGGUGCAAGCGUUAAUCGGAAUUACUGGGCGUAAAGCGUGCGCAGGCGGUUUUGUAAGUCUGAUGUGAAAUCCCCGGGCUCAACCUGGGAAUUGCAUUGGAGACUGCAAGGCUAGAAUCUGGCAGAGGGGGGUAGAAUUCCACGUGUAGCAGUGAAAUGCGUAGAUAUGUGGAGGAACACCGAUGGCGAAGGCAGCCCCCUGGGUCAAGCUUGACGCUCAUGCACGAAAGCGUGGGGAGCAAACAGGAUUAGAAACCCGGGUAGUCCCAUGA
This 475-nucleotide ribosomal RNA is filed under the name uncultured organism. RNAcentral describes it as "partial 16S ribosomal RNA". It matches the Rfam family "Bacterial small subunit ribosomal RNA", at positions 334 to 800 of the family's 1533-position model. The record is from RNAcentral.